AUUGAACGCUGGCGGCAGGCCUAACACAUGCAAGUCGAACGAGUGGCGGACGGGUGAGUAAUGUCUGGGAAACUGCCCGAUGGAGGGGGAUAACUAAUGGAAACGGUAGCUAAUACCGCAUACCAUCGGAUGUGCCCAGAUGGGGUUAGCGUGUAGGUGAGGUAACGGCUCACCUAGGCGACGAUCCCUAGCUGGUCUGAGAGGAUGACGAGCCACACUGGAACGUAGACACGGGCCAGACUACUACGGGAGGCAGCAGUGGGGAAUAUUGAACAAUGGGCGCAAGCCUGAUGCAGCCAUGCCGCGUGGAUGAAGAAGGCCUUCUGGUUGUAAAGGACUUUCAGCGGGGAGGCGGUACCCGCAGAAGAAGCACCGGCUAACUCCGUGCCAGCCGCCGCGGUAAUAC
RNAcentral lists this ribosomal RNA (406 nucleotides) under uncultured bacterium. RNAcentral's name for it is "partial 16S ribosomal RNA". It matches the Rfam family "Bacterial small subunit ribosomal RNA", at positions 29 to 526 of the family's 1533-position model. The record is from RNAcentral.